GCCAGACUCCUACGGGAGGCAGCAGUGGGGAAUAUUGGGCAAUGGGCGCAAGCCUGACCCAGCAACGCCGCGUGAAGGAAGAAGGCCCUCGGGUUGUAAACUUCUUUUAUCAGGGACGAAACAAAUGACGGUACCUGAUGAAUAAGCCACGGCUAACUACGUGCCAGCAGCCGCGGUAAUACGUAGGUGGCAAGCGUUAUCCGGAUUUACUGGGUGUAAAGGGCGUGUAGGCGGGACUGCAAGUCAGAUGUGAAAACCAUGGGCUCAACCUGUGGCCUGCAUUUGAAACUGUAGUUCUUGAGUACUGGAGAGGCAGACGGAAUUCCUAGUGUAGCGGUGAAAUGCGUAGAUAUUAGGAGGAACACCAGUGGCGAAGGCGGUCUGCUGGACAGCAACUGACGCUGAGGCGCGAAAGCGUGGGGAGCAAACAGGAUUAGAUACCCUCGUACGU
Molecule: ribosomal RNA, 451 nt
Filed under: uncultured bacterium
Lineage: Bacteria
Description: partial 16S ribosomal RNA
Rfam family: Bacterial small subunit ribosomal RNA
Source: RNAcentral